This is a long non-coding RNA of Erinaceus europaeus (western European hedgehog), 559 nucleotides long. RefSeq lists it as uncharacterized. The record is from RefSeq and is a predicted model, not a curated record. The transcript has 2 exons. NCBI's taxonomy places the organism in Eukaryota, Metazoa, Chordata, Mammalia, Eulipotyphla, Erinaceidae.
GGGGCCAGAAAGGGGCCGGCUUGGUGGGAGGACAGUGCCCAGGCCUUCCUUCGGGUGGUAGUGGAAGGUUCUCCAGGUAGGGCAGGUGGGUUUGUCUCUCCGGGUUAAAUGGCAGUGUUGCUAUUCGUGUGUGUGUGUGUGUAACAGCAGCUUGGAAAUUGGAACUUUAUGAUCUGGAUGAUGAAAAUUGCUAAAAGUCAGACGUUAGGUAUUGUCAAAGGCAGCGGUUUUCCAAAUGGUUCUGGACAGACACCCAUCCAAACAGCUGAGCUCACAAGCUUGGAACCAAUAUAAUUUACAUAUGUAAAUAUGCAAACUAAAGACAAACACAACAGAACACAGUGGCAGGAUUAUUUAUUUGUUUUUUAAUUUAGCAUAUUUAUUUUGGGUAGAAACAGAAGUUGAGGGUGGAAAAGACGGGGGAGAGAGAGAGAGACAUGCUCAUAGAGCUCCAUGCCUGGAGUCUGAACCAGGGUCCUUAUUCAUGGUAACAUUUGUGUCUAGCCAGGGGUGCCGCUGCCUGGCCCACACAUAAACAGACAUUUAAAAGAAGAGAAAA